GUCCUCCGCCUCAGUACGUCCAUCUCUGUUGGAUCCGGGGCCUCGACUCUGUUCUGGUUCGACCGCUGGCUUGGGGACUCCCCCUUGGCUGUGCAUUUCCCAGACCUAUUUGCCAUUGCGGCUGACCCUCGGGUCUCUAUCGAGACGGCCCUUAUUGACUUGGGACGUCUUGCUUUCCAUCGUCCCUUCGGCUCUCUCGAGGUGGCUGCUUGGGACUCCCUCCUCCAAGACGUGGCCCUUAUGCCGAUGAACGUUGAGGAGGACCAGGAUGCCAUUUCCUGGCACAUGGAGCCGUAUGGCCGCUUCUCCACGAAGUCCUUGUAUGGGGCCAUUGCGCCCUGGACGGCCUCGGAACUGUUUAGCCUGAUAUGGGACAUCCGCCUCCCUCUGAAGAUCAGGAUCUUUCUGUGGCAAUGGAUCCGCGGACGCCUCCCCUCUGGGAUCGAAGUUCUCAAGCGUAACGGCCCGGGCGAUGGGAUUUGUCCCAUCCGUGGCACAAUCGAGGAUGCUAACCACAUCUUCUUCUCGUGCUCUACUGCCCAGUUCAUGUGGGCCUGCUUCUGCGAAACGGUCGGCAGCCAGUGGUGCAAUACCAAUUUCCCCGACUUACUUGCGGAACUGACCGCCUCCCCUCCUCGCUACCGCCAUAUUAUAUGGUUGUGCGUUGGGAUCCUCGCAUGGACGCUUUGGAACAUUCGCAACAAGCUUGUCAUUCAGAAGGUCCCUCUUCGACGUGCGAAUGAUGCUAUCUUCAAAAUGUGUGGCUACUUGCAGCUUUGUGUCACAUCCCUAGUCUGGUAUGACCUAGGCUAG
Molecule: ribosomal RNA, 813 nt
Filed under: Triticum aestivum (bread wheat)
Lineage: Eukaryota; Viridiplantae; Streptophyta; Magnoliopsida; Poales; Poaceae
Description: partial small subunit ribosomal RNA
Source: RNAcentral